AGUNAAUUGAGCAGACAACGAUAUUUUCCUUUCAUUUCAAUUACUACAGUUUGAAGUAGGUACGUUUCUGUCGUAUAUAAUUUUCAAAAGCCCGCGAUUGGUCAUGGGGAUCGAGAUAACCGAGAUUAAGUGGAAAAUUUGACCGCCUUUUGUGCUCGAGAUAUCAGAGUUCGGCGAAAUAAAAGAAUCGACAUAACCGAGGAGAAAAUGCUAAGACCAAGAGAGAAUUUUGGCGGUUCCACUUCAAAAACGUCGACAUAACAGGGUUGGCGAGUUAACCGAAGUCGAGAUAAGCGGGUUCAACUGUAUAUUUAUAAUAUGGCCAUUGAAUACAUUUUAUAUGCAUUUCCAAAAAUAGACUUCUGAACUCUAUUUUAGAACAUGAUGACAUCAUACAAUUAUCAUCCACCAUACUUUAAAAGUGGGUGUCAUUUUGUGAANAACUGGAAAUUGAACACAUCCUUCUAAUCUGAACACAUCCUUCCAACCUGAACACCAUCAAACACAUCGAGUCUGGUCAGUGGCNUACCAAUGGUGGGGCGCUCCGCCCAUUUCUCGGACUGUGUGUGCUCUAAGGUUACAUACUGUGUGUGCAGUUACUUGAGUUACUGAGUCAGUUGGCGUAUGACCGUUAUCACUCUAGUUAUCAUUCAUUCAAUUUUUUAUCAUCAUCAUUGCCAAUUGNGCAGGCAUCAUUUAUGAUCAUUAUAAUUCAUUAUGUAANAGAUUAUUAAUAAUUUACCGAAUAAGUUUAACUUUUAAGUAAGUUUNAAAAAAUAUAAAGAUUAGUUGCGUNNCAAGUUACAUUCAAUUAUUUUUCAUUUGAAAUACCAAAUUUGGUAAAAGUGCAGUUCAGGUGCGAAAUAUUAUUUCUGUUUGAAUCUCUUAUUUCCCCGUGUAAACUUAUGUNAAUUCUUUAUAAAAAGUAUUUUAAAAGUUAUAUAACCAUCUUUUUAUUGGAAUACAACAACAAUUUAACAAAUUUUACGAGAUAAAAAAAAGUACAUNUUUAUGAAUCUUUCGUGUUUNACUGAGCCAUUGUGGUAAAUCAAGGAUAACUCUUCUGUCUUUAAAGAUACUUUAUAAAAGUCGCCCAAUUGGAUGAAUCUUGUUAAAAUAAAUGAUGUAUUUUUAUUUUAUAACUUUACUAUCAACUAUAACCGGAGUUGCCCGGGGCUGCAUUCAAACAAAAACAUCUGCUACGUCCUUUUAGCUCACAUUGCUAUUAAAGGAAAUGGCAACAACAAAACAACAACACUAUAGUAAAAAUAAUAAUAAUUAAUUUGUCUCCUAUUAAAAACAAUUAAAAUAACUUAUGUAAACCUUUCGUUUUCCCGUUUUCCGAUGACACCCAGAAGGAUCAUGAUGGGAUCCCGAACCCGAUGUGAUUCCGAUAGAAUCCUGGUCAUGGUGGGAUCCCGAUCCCGGUAAGAUACUGAUCCCGGUGAGAUCCAUUUCCGGUGGGUAUCCCAAACUAAAUGAGAACCUAUCCGGCGGGAUCCCGUUUCGGUGAGAUUCCGAUCCCGNUAAUUGUGGUGAGCUCACAUACUUGACAUACGNACCCAGCUUACAAGCCACAUUGCAAUUGUUACGAGCGCCUUAGGAGAAAUUCCAGUUGUAUUAACGUUAUUUGUUGCCCCACAAGGUGCGCAUAUAAACCAAAUGCUGCACCAUUAAAAAUGCCUGUUGCAUCAACAAUUUUAGUUAUUGUUUCUUGGUCGUCCUGCAAUUUUAAACAAAAUGAUCCUACAACCAGCAAAGCCAAAACGAGUACCAUCUUAUAAUAUAAAAAAAAUAAUCUCUAGCCCUCACUUUACUCAGCGCAAAUCAGUCACCAGUAAUAAGCGCAUUUGCAUACGAAAAAGAGGAGGGGGUGCUCAAAUUAGAGCUGACCAAUCACGGACAGCGUAUUAGCAGCCUUCAGGGUGAUCAGCUUCACACCAGGUCCAGGACAAUGAUGAUGUGUGUGUCCACUGCUUAGUCAGUGAUCCAAUUNUAAUNUGCCCCCCCCCCCUUUUUCAAUCUGCCCCCCCCCCUUUCCCCGAAUGACUUCAAAGGACAACCCCUAUAUUCCGAGCUCUCUGAGAGGGGAAAAAAAGAAAGUGGGGGGGGGGCGCGCUUGUGCGUAAUGAAGAAUCUAGUAUUUCAUUCUUUUUUGUGAACAUGCUUAGUUUGAAAAUUUCGUUUAGCAUACUAACUUAUAUUAUAUGAUUGAAAUUAUUAAGAUGUUUUCAAGGCUUUUUUCAGAUAAAAGAGAAAAUUUUCUAUUGCAGAACUCGGUGGAAUUCCUUCCAUUCCAUCAAAGAACAAGGAGGCACGUUUGAAUGUAGAUAAAAAAAUGGUUUUUAGUAAUUUUUAUUUAUAAUUAAUAAUUACAUUACAUGCAGAGAGAAAAAAAACUACUUACCUUUUUAUAAUUAUAAGAAUUUCAUUUAAAAUUUAACACAGGCAUAUAAUUAGUUCAAAUCCAAUAUACAAGUUUUUUUUUUUUUCUUUGUUAGUAUCGGUAUUGAUUUUUCCAUUUUUUCUGUUCACAUUUUUCUUAACAUACCCUUAAAUAAAACAAUUUAAAAUAGAAAGU
RNAcentral lists this non-coding RNA (2581 nucleotides) under Lymnaea stagnalis (great pond snail). The record is from RNAcentral. Lineage: Eukaryota; Metazoa; Mollusca; Gastropoda; Lymnaeidae.